This 442-nucleotide ribosomal RNA is filed under the name uncultured bacterium. Its description in RNAcentral is "partial 16S ribosomal RNA". It matches the Rfam family "Bacterial small subunit ribosomal RNA", at positions 338 to 795 of the family's 1533-position model. The record is from RNAcentral.
CCUACGGGAGGCAGCAGUGGGGAAUAUUGGGCAAUGGGCGCAAGCCUGACCCAGCAACGCCGCGUGAAGGAAGAAGGCUUUCGGGUUGUAAACUUCUUUUGACAGGGAAGAGUAGAAGACGGUACCUGUCGAAUAAGCCACGGCUAACUACGUGCCAGCAGCCGCGGUAAUACGUAGGUGGCAAGCGUUGUCCGGAUUUACUGGGUGUAAAGGGCGUGUAGCCGGGUUGACAAGUCAGAUGUGAAAUCCUGCGGCUUAACCGCAGAACUGCAUUUGAAACUGGUGAUCUUGAGUACUGGAGAGGCAGACGGAAUGCCUAGUGUAGCGGUGAAAUGCGUAGAUAUUAGGAGGAACACCAGUGGCGAAGGCAGUCUGCUGGACAGCAACUGACGGUGAGGCGCGAAAGCGUGGGGAGCAAACAGGAUUAGAUACCCUAGUAGUC